AUUGAACGCUGGCGGCAUGCCUUACACAUGCAAGUCGAACGGCAGCACGGGAGCAAUCCUGGUGGCGAGUGGCGAACGGGUGAGUAAUAUAUCGGAACGUGCCCAGUCGUGGGGAUAACGUAGCGAAAGCUACGCUAAUACCGCAUACGAUCUACGGAUGAAAGCGGGGGAUCGCAAGACCUCGCGCGAUUGGAGCGGCCGAUAUCAGAUUAGGUAGUUGGUGAGGUAAAGGCUCACCAAGCCGACGAUCUGUAGCUGGUCUGAGAGGACGACCAGCCACACUGGGACUGAGACACGGCCCAGACUCCUACGGGAGGCAGCAGUGGGGAAUUUUGGACAAUGGGCGCAAGCCUGAUCCAGCAAUGCCGCGUGCAGGAUGAA
This 381-nucleotide ribosomal RNA is filed under the name uncultured bacterium. Its description in RNAcentral is "bacterial SSU rRNA". It matches the Rfam family "Bacterial small subunit ribosomal RNA", at positions 30 to 412 of the family's 1533-position model. The record is from RNAcentral.